CACGUAGUUAGCCGUGGCUUAUUCAAGGGGUACCGUCUUCCGCUCUUCCCCCUUAAAAGAAGUUUACAACCCGAAAGCCUUCUUCCUUCACGCGGCGUUGCUGGGUCAGACUUGCGUCCAUUGCCCAAUAUUCCCCACUGCUGCCUCCCGUAGGAGUCUGGGCCGUAUCUCAGUCCCAAUGUGGCCGGCCAACCUCUCAGUCCGGCUACUGAUCGUCGCCUUGGUGGGCCGUUACCUCACCAACUAGCUAAUCAGACGCGAGGCCAUCUUCCAGCGAUAAAUCUUUGACGUCAGAGUCAUGCGGCUCCAACGCAUCAUGCGGUAUUAGCAGUCGUUUCCAACUGUUGUCCCCCUCUGGAAGGCAGGUUCCUCACGCGUUACUCACCAGUCCGCCACUAAGCAUUCCCAUCCGUUGUCCGAAAACUCCUUCAGGGGUGCUCCGUUCGACUUGCAUGUGUUAAGCACGCCGCCAGCGUUCGUCCUGAGCCAGGAUCAAACUCU
Molecule: ribosomal RNA, 501 nt
Filed under: uncultured Oscillibacter sp.
Lineage: Bacteria; Bacillati; Bacillota; Clostridia; Eubacteriales; Oscillospiraceae
Description: partial 16S ribosomal RNA
Source: RNAcentral